RNAcentral lists this long non-coding RNA (338 nucleotides) under Ananas comosus (pineapple). RNAcentral describes it as "long non-coding RNA (ACOM_LNC006507)". The record is from RNAcentral. Lineage: Eukaryota; Viridiplantae; Streptophyta; Magnoliopsida; Poales; Bromeliaceae.
CAUUGACAAAUUUGCAUAGUAAUUUGUUUAUAGUAAAUAAAACAAACAAAUUAGUCGCAUCGAUAAGAAUAGAUACCUUGCAUGUCACUGUCUCAAUGUAAGAAGGCUCAGUAAGAGCUUAAACAUUUAUCUCAUUAAACCGAUUGUCCCUAGAGCAAGUGGCAAAGUGCUUGGUGGUUGAUAUCCGAGACCCAAGUUCGAAUCCUAGUUGAUUCACAUUUCCAGCUAAGUUUAUUUCUAAAUGAAAUAAACAAAGCGGGUAACGUGCUAUCUAUCUCUCUCAAAAAAAAAACAUUUAUCUCAUUAAACACGAGGAUCAUAAUUAAUCAACUGCUAAC